This 21-nucleotide non-coding RNA is filed under the name Caenorhabditis elegans. Lineage: Eukaryota; Metazoa; Nematoda; Chromadorea; Rhabditida; Rhabditidae. The record is from RNAcentral.
UAUGACCGCAGUCUCUUUUUU